UCAGACUCCUACGGGAGGCAGCAGUGGGGAAUAUUGCACAAUGGGGGGAACCCUGAUGCAGCGACGCCGCGUGGGUGAAGAAGUCAUUCGUGACGUAAAGCCCUAUCAGCAGGGAAGAAAAUGACGGUACCUGACUAAGAAGCCCCGGCUAACUACAUGCCAGCAGCCGCGGUAAUACGUAGGGGGCAAGCGUUAUCCGGAUUUACUGGGUGUAAAGGGAGCGUAGACGGCGGUGCAAGCCAGGAGUGAAAGCCCGGGGCCCAACCCCGGGACUGCUCUUGGAACUGCGUGGCUAGAGUGCGGGAGGGGCAGGCGGAAUUCCUGGUGUAGCGGUGAAAUGCGUAGAUAUCAGGAGGAACACCGGUGGCGAAGGCGGCCUGCUGGACUGCAACUGACGUUGAGGCCCGAAAGCGUGGGGAGCAAACAGGAUUAGAUACCCCAGUAUCC
This 447-nucleotide ribosomal RNA is filed under the name uncultured bacterium. RNAcentral's name for it is "partial 16S ribosomal RNA". It matches the Rfam family "Bacterial small subunit ribosomal RNA", at positions 331 to 795 of the family's 1533-position model. The record is from RNAcentral.